GAUGAACGCUGGCGGCGUGCCUAAUACAUGCAAGUCGAGCGAACGGACGAGAAGCUUGCUUCUCUGAUGUUAGCGGCGGACGGGUGAGUAACACGUGGAUAACCUACCUAUAAGACUGGGAUGACUUCGGGAAACCGGAGCUAAUACCGGAUGAUAUUUUGAACCGCAUGGUUCAAAAGUGAAAGACGGUCUUGCUGUCACUUAUAGAUGGAUCCGCGCUGCAUUAGCUAGUUGGUAAGGUAACGGCUUACCAAGGCAACGAUGCAUAGCCGACCUGAGAGGGUGAUCGGCCACACUGGAACUGAGACACGGUCCAGACUCCUACGGGAGGCAGCAGUAGGGAAUCUUCCGCAAUGGGCGAAAGCCUGACGGAGCAACGCCGCGUGAGUGAUGAAGGUCUUCGGAUCGUAAAACUCUGUUAUUAGGGAAGAACAUAUGUGUAAGUAACUGUGCACAUCUUGACGGUACCUAAUCAGAAAGCCACGGCUAACUACGUG
Molecule: ribosomal RNA, 497 nt
Filed under: uncultured bacterium
Lineage: Bacteria
Description: partial 16S ribosomal RNA
Rfam family: Bacterial small subunit ribosomal RNA
Source: RNAcentral